UCCACAUUCUCUGGGAAGUAUUCUUGACCUACGGAGCUGCAAAUACUGCAAUACAGCUUUUGCUUCAAUACAGUUCUAAGGAAACAGCUUGUAUUGAGGCCUGCAGGUACAUCUUCUGGAAGCGUGCUAGUUGGUACUGUGGACCCUUUCAGAAGCAGUUAGGGGAAUGGAUUGUAUUGUUCAUAGCAGAUGGAGAUACAGAGCUGUGAUAACGACCUACAGAAUCUGGUGUAAUAGCUCAAGCAUUUUAUCCAGGGAACAACAGUGGGAUUUCAUAUGAACAGCCUGGGUUUAGAUUUAGUGUAAAAUAAUUAUUACAAGGUAAUUACACAGCUGUUCUUUCCAAUUAGAGUGACAAUUUAGGAUGAAAUCUGGUCAGAUUUUGAUAAAAUUCCUUAUAAGUAUUCACCUAUGAGAGUCAUGCUCUAUCUGAUGAAUAUCUUGGGUCCAUUGGUAUUGGAAACCAAGCAACACUUCAGAUUUCUUACAGUGAUCAAAUUACCCUAAUGCUGUACAAGACUUGGAUUUUGAAGGAAAGAGCUACAUGGUUGAAAGAUUUUU
This is a long non-coding RNA of Pogoniulus pusillus (Red-fronted tinkerbird), 561 nucleotides long. RefSeq lists it as uncharacterized. NCBI's taxonomy places the organism in Eukaryota, Metazoa, Chordata, Aves, Piciformes, Lybiidae. The transcript has 4 exons. The record is from RefSeq and is a predicted model, not a curated record.